CAAGGAGGCAGCGCGAGAGAUUCAGAACCCGCAGGAGAUGGAGGUUUUGGAAAGGACUUUGUGAAGCCUUAACGAGCAGGUUGUGCACUGGGAUAAACUCAAGACUGGAAAUUCCUGUUUGGGUUAAGAAAAGAUGCUUCAGCAACUUGGGCCCGAUGCAUACAAAGGGGAAAUGAUGUGAAGACAUAGGGAGAAGAAAGCCAUCAACUAAGCAAGGAGAGAGGCCUCAGAAGAAGCCAACCUUGCCAACACCUUGAUCUUGGACUUCCAGACUCCAGAAUUGUACAAAAGUAAGUUUCUGUUGUUGGAGUCACCUGGUCUGUGGUACUUUGUUAUAGCAGACUGAGAUAUUUCUCCUGGGCAUUGUACCUCCUUUUGAUCUGAGCGUGCACCCUGAUUCCAUCCCAAUACCAGACUAACAAGGUUCUGUUGCUUUCUGCUUCUAGGCCUUAUUACAGUCCUAGCUUUGAUUUUUGCUCUUGUCUGGUGGGUCCUUGCCCUGCUCUCCUUAUUCUCCUAACCCUGGCUCCUAUGCACUGCCUUUCUCCAUCCUGCUACUCCUGCCUCUUUUUCAUCAUUCAGCCCAACCUAGGAAAGCAGCCCACUCAGCCACCAAGACUGAUGGUCCUUCCUGUUUAUAGCACUUGUCCGACAGGCCACAUGGUGCUGGAUACCUGCUGGGAUCAGAAGUAAUGGGAGAAGGAUAGCAAGAGAAUGAGCCCUUCUCCUUUCUCUCUCUCACCACCCUCCCCAAGAACUUCCCACAGGUUGAUAAAUACUGUUAUGGUUCAAAACAGAAGGUGCAACUUGGCUCUAUGCUCAGAUGUUUCUCCUGAGGGUUAGAGAAACAGAUGGAGGGCUGUCCAACUCGAGGAGAAAGCCAGACUCGUUCAGAGUGAUCUUUAUAUGCUCUAAAACCUGGCACAGGUGGUCUUUACUAGUCUCCAUCCUGAAUGCCAGGAAACUGAAGGACUCUUUGGGGAAGUGGCCACGUGCUGGGAGGUUGGACAAAUGCUCUCCAUGCUAGGGAGCAGGUUUGGAGGUCUGCUCUUUGCACUGGGACCCUGUUGACAUCUUAUGUCCCAACUGGGAUUAUUUGGGGGAAAUUGUUUGCAGAGGAAAACAACUCUCACUUCUUCCUACUAUGAACCUGUGAGAUCAUCUUCCCGGCUGAGCUCUUUGGUUCCUUUUUCACUGUAAGGAAAAACUCCUACACACCCCGUUGCCCUUUUAAGGCUCAGAUAGGACUGCAUGCUGAAGCUCAGCAUUUCCAGGUGGUUUAAUCUGGACAAAGACAGAUAGUUUGGACUCACCUCAGUGCACACUGGAUUCGAGGAGGUGAUGACUUUACAGCUGGCGGAAAUCAGCACCGCCAACAGGAAGCA
Molecule: long non-coding RNA, 1385 nt
Organism: Kogia breviceps (pygmy sperm whale)
Lineage: Eukaryota; Metazoa; Chordata; Mammalia; Artiodactyla; Physeteridae
Source: RefSeq, a predicted model, not a curated record